AUUUUGGUAGCUUAAAUAAUAGAGUAUUAUACUGAAGAUAUAAUGGUAACUUAUGUUUCAAAAUA
Molecule: transfer RNA, 65 nt
Filed under: Illinigina sp. EMHAU-15062817
Lineage: Eukaryota; Metazoa; Arthropoda; Insecta; Hemiptera; Cicadellidae
Description: tRNA-Phe
Source: RNAcentral